Acanthosepion pharaonis is the source of this 112-nucleotide non-coding RNA. Lineage: Eukaryota; Metazoa; Mollusca; Cephalopoda; Sepiida; Sepiidae. The record is from the annotation of a GenBank genome assembly.
UACGGCCGCAUCACGUUGAAACACCGAUUCCCGUACGAUGCCAAAGUUAAGCAAUGUCAAGCUUGGUCAGUACCUUGAUGGGUGACCGCUUGGGUAUACCAGGUGGUGUAAG